CCUACGGGCGGCAGCAGAGAGGAAUAUUGGUCAAUGGACGGAAGUCUGAACCAGCCAUGCCGCGUGCAGGAAGACGGCUCUAUGAGUUGUAAACUGCUUUUGAACAAGGGUAAACCUGAAUACGUGUAUUCAGCUGAGAUUACUGUACGAAUAAGGAUAGGCUAACUCCGUGCCAGCAGCCGCGGUAAUACGGAGGAUACAAGCGUUACGCGGAUUUAUUGGGUUUAAAGGGUGCGUAGGCGGAUUGGUAAGUUAGAGGUGAAAUGCACGAGCUUAACUCGGGAACUGCCUCUAAUACUGUUGAUCUAGAGAGUAGCAGCGGUAGGCGGAAUGUAUGGUGUAGCAGUGAAAUGCUUAGAGAUCAUACAGAACACCGAUUGCGAAGGCAGCUUACCAAUCUAUAACUGACGUUGAGGCACGAAAGCGUGGGGAGCAAACAGGAUUAGAUACCCCAGUAGUC
This 460-nucleotide ribosomal RNA is filed under the name uncultured bacterium. RNAcentral's name for it is "partial 16S ribosomal RNA". It matches the Rfam family "Bacterial small subunit ribosomal RNA", at positions 338 to 795 of the family's 1533-position model. The record is from RNAcentral.